RNAcentral lists this ribosomal RNA (425 nucleotides) under uncultured bacterium. RNAcentral describes it as "partial 16S ribosomal RNA". It matches the Rfam family "Bacterial small subunit ribosomal RNA", at positions 354 to 796 of the family's 1533-position model. The record is from RNAcentral.
GUGGGGAAUCUUGCGCAAUGGGCGAAAGCCUGACGCAGCCAUGCCGCGUGAAUGAUGAAGGUCUUAGGAUUGUAAAAUUCUUUCACCGGGGACGAUAAUGACGGUACCCGGAGAAGAAGCCCCGGCUAACUUCGUGCCAGCAGCCGCGGUAAUACGAAGGGGGCUAGCGUUGCUCGGAAUUACUGGGCGUAAAGGGCGCGUAGGCGGACAGUUUAGUCAGAGGUGAUAGCCCAGGGCUCAACCUUGGAAUUGCCUUUGAUACUGGCUGUCUUGAGUACGGGAGAGGUGAGUGGAACUCCGAGUGUAGAGGUGAAAUUCGUAGAUAUUCGGAAGAACACCAGUGGCGAAGGCGACUCACUGGCCCGUUACUGACGCUGAGGCGCGAAAGCGUGGGGAGCAAACAGGAUUAGAAACCCGAGUAGUCC